Molecule: long non-coding RNA, 495 nt
Filed under: Papio anubis (olive baboon)
Lineage: Eukaryota; Metazoa; Chordata; Mammalia; Primates; Cercopithecidae
Description: lncRNA (ENSPANG00000043904.1)
Source: RNAcentral
UUGGACUGUCCUAUACAAGGACCCAUAUAUAGAGUGUGAUCAUAGAAUCAUGUGCUCAUAGAUCACAGAGUCUGUGUUUUUGGACCGGUCUAUUCUUAAUGGCUGUGGGGAAAUAAGGCAACUUACUCAACUUCAUCAGUGGCCUUACUAAAGUGGUAGAAAAAAUUUCUAUUUUAGAGUUUAAACUUUAGCCAAAAGCUUGUUACUUAAAAGCCAAAAAACAAACCAAAAAAAGCUUAAAUACUUUGACACUGUUUUUAUUUUUCAGCUCUAUGCAACUCAUUUUCAUCUAGCAGUACGUCUCCAAAACCUGAAUCUUCACAAGAAAGCCGUACAGCAAUUAACCAGUGUUGCAAGGAUUGCCUCUGUAAUAAAGUUGUGUUGUUUCCUCUGGGUAUUGAUCACACUUGUACAAAUGGACAGACAUUAAAAAUACAUCCGCUGGUGAGAAGACAAAUUGACGCAACCCUCUUGAAAAGCAAUCUGGCAAUAUGA